UGGGGAAUAUUGCACAAUGGGCGCAAGCCUGAUGCAGCCAUGCCGCGUGUGUGAAGAAGGCCUUCGGGUUGUAAAGCACUUUCAGCGAGGAGGAAGGUGGUGAACUUAAUACGUUCAUCAAUUGACGUUACUCGCAGAAGAAGCACCGGCUAACUCCGUGCCAGCAGCCGCGGUAAUACGGAGGGUGCAAGCGUUAAUCGGAAUUACUGGGCGUAAAGCGCACGCAGGCGGUUUGUUAAGUCAGAUGUGAAAUCCCCGGGCUCAACCUGGGAACUGCAUUUGAAACUGGCAAGCUAGAGUCUCGUAGAGGGGGGUAGAAUUCCAGGUGUAGCGGUGAAAUGCGUAGAGAUCUGGAGGAAUACCGGUGGCGAAGGCGGCCCCCUGGACGAAGACUGACGCCCAGGUGCGAAAGCGUGGGGAGCAAAACAGGAUUAGAUACCCUGGUAGUCCACGCUGUAAACGAUGUCGAUUUUGGAGGUUGUGCCCUUGAGGCGUGGCUUCCGGAGCUAACGCGUUAAAUCGACCGCCU
RNAcentral lists this ribosomal RNA (529 nucleotides) under uncultured bacterium. Its description in RNAcentral is "partial 16S ribosomal RNA". It matches the Rfam family "Bacterial small subunit ribosomal RNA", at positions 355 to 874 of the family's 1533-position model. The record is from RNAcentral.